UACAGAGGGGGCAAGCGUUGUUCGGAAUUACUGGGCGUAAAGGGCGCGUAGGUGGCCUUCUUAGUCGAACGUGAAAUCCCCGGGCUCAACCCGGGAACUGCGUCCGAUACUGGAAGGCUUGAAUCCGGGAGAGGGAUGCGGAAUUCCAGGUGUAGCGGUGAAAUGCGUAGAUAUCUGGAGGAACACCGGUGGCGAAGGCGGCAUCCUGGACCGGCAUUGACGCUGAGGCGCGAAAGCCAGGGGAGCAAACGGG
Molecule: ribosomal RNA, 253 nt
Filed under: uncultured bacterium
Lineage: Bacteria
Description: partial 16S ribosomal RNA
Rfam family: Bacterial small subunit ribosomal RNA
Source: RNAcentral